Molecule: transfer RNA, 73 nt
Filed under: Anaerolineales bacterium
Lineage: Bacteria; Bacillati; Chloroflexota; Anaerolineae; Anaerolineales
Description: tRNA-Arg
Rfam family: tRNA
About the family: Transfer RNA (tRNA) molecules are approximately 80 nucleotides in length. Their secondary structure includes four short double-helical elements and three loops (D, anti-codon, and T loops).
Source: RNAcentral
GCCCCCGUAGCUCAAUGGACAGAGCAUCUGCCUUCUAAGCAGAGGGUUGGGAGUUCGAUCCUCUCCGGGGGCA